Molecule: transfer RNA, 72 nt
Filed under: Pangasianodon hypophthalmus (striped catfish)
Lineage: Eukaryota; Metazoa; Chordata; Actinopteri; Siluriformes; Pangasiidae
Rfam family: tRNA
About the family: Transfer RNA (tRNA) molecules are approximately 80 nucleotides in length. Their secondary structure includes four short double-helical elements and three loops (D, anti-codon, and T loops). Further hydrogen bonds mediate the characteristic L-shaped molecular structure. tRNAs have two regions of fundamental functional importance: the anti-codon, which is responsible for specific mRNA codon recognition, and the 3' end, to which the tRNAs corresponding amino acid is attached (by aminoacyl-tRNA synthetases). tRNAs cope with the degeneracy of the genetic code in two manners: having more than one tRNA (with a specific anti-codon) for a particular amino acid; and 'wobble' base-pairing, i.e. permitting non-standard base-pairing at the 3rd anti-codon position.
Source: Rfam by way of RNAcentral
UCCCUGAAGGACUAGUGGUUAGGCCACAGCGCUUUCACCACUGCAGCCUGGGUUCAAUUCCCAGCCAAGGAA